GAUGAACGCUGGCGGCAGGCCUAACACAUGCAAGUCGAGCGGAAACACGAUGAGAUCUUUCCUUUUCCGGUGGCGAGUGACGGGCGAGUGAGACGUACAUAACCUACCUCUUAGACUGGGAUGAGAACGGGAAACCGGAGAUAAUACUAGCUCAUACAGCCAACCGCAUAAUUCAAUAGAGCAAGACGGUUUUGCUGUCAGUUAUAGAUGGAUCCGCGUCGGAUUAGCUAGUUGGUAAGGUAACGGCUAACCAAGGCAACGAUGCGUAGCUGACCUGAGAGGAGGAUCAGCCACACUGGAACUGAGACACGGUCCAGACUCCUACGGGAGGCAGCAGUGGGGAAUCUUCCACAAUGGGCGAAAGCCUGACCGAGCAACGCCGCGUGGGUGAAGAAGGUCUUCGGGUCGUAAAGCUCUGUUGUUUGGAAAGAACAACAGUGUAAGUAUCUAUGGACGUCUUGACGGUACCUAAUGAAUAAGCACCGGCUAACUUCGUG
This 497-nucleotide ribosomal RNA is filed under the name uncultured bacterium. Its description in RNAcentral is "partial 16S ribosomal RNA". It matches the Rfam family "Bacterial small subunit ribosomal RNA", at positions 28 to 507 of the family's 1533-position model. The record is from RNAcentral.